CUGGAAUGCCUUGGAGACAGCUUUAAAAGCUUCUUCAGCUCCGGGCGCCUUGUUCUUAUCAUGGACUUUAAGGGAUAAUUUCCUAUACGCUUUUCGAACAUCUUCAACAGAGCAAGUUUUCUCCAAUCCCAAAAUGUCAUAAUAAUCUUUCUUCUUCUUGAUUUGCCUCACGAUAGUGAUUUGCUCCUCAGUAUACGUGGCUGAGGACGAUGAGGCAGU
RNAcentral lists this unclassified non-coding RNA (219 nucleotides) under Hevea brasiliensis (rubber tree). The record is from RNAcentral. Lineage: Eukaryota; Viridiplantae; Streptophyta; Magnoliopsida; Malpighiales; Euphorbiaceae.